RNAcentral lists this ribosomal RNA (988 nucleotides) under uncultured Bacteroides sp. RNAcentral describes it as "bacterial SSU rRNA". It matches the Rfam family "Bacterial small subunit ribosomal RNA", at positions 137 to 1125 of the family's 1533-position model. Lineage: Bacteria; Pseudomonadati; Bacteroidota; Bacteroidia; Bacteroidales; Bacteroidaceae. The record is from RNAcentral.
UCUUGGCCAGCCUUCUGAAAGGAAGAUUAAUCCAGGAUGGGAUCAUGAGUUCACAUGUCCGCAUGAUUAAAGGUAUUUUCCGGUAGACGAUGGGGAUGCGUUCCAUUAGAUAGUAGGCGGGGUAACGGCCCACCUAGUCAACGAUGGAUAGGGGUUCUGAGAGGAAGGUCCCCCACAUUGGAACUGAGACACGGUCCAAACUCCUACGGGAGGCAGCAGUGAGGAAUAUUGGUCAAUGGGCGAUGGCCUGAACCAGCCAAGUAGCGUGAAGGAUGACUGCCCUAUGGGUUGUAAACUUCUUUUAUAAAGGAAUAAAGUCGGGUAUGCAUACCCGUUUGCAUGUACUUUAUGAAUAAGGAUCGGCUAACUCCGUGCCAGCAGCCGCGGUAAUACGGAGGAUCCGAGCGUUAUCCGGAUUUAUUGGGUUUAAAGGGAGCGUAGAUGGAUGUUUAAGUCAGUUGUGAAAGUUUGCGGCUCAACCGUAAAAUUGCAGUUGAUACUGGAUGUCUUGAGUGCAGUUGAGGCAGGCGGAAUUCGUGGUGUAGCGGUGAAAUGCUUAGAUAUCACGAAGAACUCCGAUUGCGAAGGCAGCCUGCUAAGCUGCAACUGACAUUGAGGCUCGAAAGUGUGGGUAUCAAACAGGAUUAGAUACCCUGGUAGUCCACACGGUAAACGAUGAAUACUCGCUGUUUGCGAUAUACGGCAAGCGGCCAAGCGAAAGCGUUAAGUAUUCCACCUGGGGAGUACGCCGGCAACGGUGAAACUCAAAGGAAUUGACGGGGGCCCGCACAAGCGGAGGAACAUGUGGUUUAAUUCGAUGAUACGCGAGGAACCUUACCCGGGCUUAAAUUGCACUCGAAUGAUCCGGAAACGGUUCAGCUAGCAAUAGCGAGUGUGAAGGUGCUGCAUGGUUGUCGUCAGCUCGUGCCGUGAGGUGUCGGCUUAAGUGCCAUAACGAGCGCAACCCUUGUUGUCAGUUACUAACAGG